UACAGAGGUGGCAAGCGUUGUUCGGAAUUACUGGGCGUAAAGGGCGUGUAGGCGGUUAGUUAAGUCUGGCGUGAAAGCUCUCGGCUAAACCGGGAGAGGUCGUUGGAUACUGGCUGACUAGAGGACGGUAGAGGCGUGUGGAAUUCCGGGUGUAGUGGUGAAAUGCGCAGAUAUCAGGAAGAACACCCGUGGCUAAGGCGGCUCUCUAGUACGGUACUGACGCUGAGACGCGAAAGCGUGGGGAGCGAACAGG
Molecule: ribosomal RNA, 253 nt
Filed under: uncultured bacterium
Lineage: Bacteria
Description: partial 16S ribosomal RNA
Rfam family: Bacterial small subunit ribosomal RNA
Source: RNAcentral